UUCUUUAAAAUUAAAAAUUUUGGCGGUAUUUUAGUCUUUUCAGAGGAACCUGUUUUUUAAUUGAUAAUCCACGAUAAUUGUUACUUAAGCUUUAAAUUUAUAUAUCGUCGUUUAUAAAAAUUUUAUUAUUUAAUUUUUUCAGAUCAAGGUGUAGUUUAUGUUUAAGUUUAAAUGGGUUACAUUAAAAAUUUCAAAUAAAUUGGAUUUGAAAGUAAGCUCUAAAAUAUGCACAUAUCGCCCGUCGCUUUCAUUAUAAAAUGAAAUAAGUCGUAACAAAGUAGGCUUAUUGGAAAAUGAGCCUAGAAUGCAAAUUAGAGCUUGAUAAGCAUUUUAUUUACAUUAAAAAGUUGAUUGUUAAAUUCAAUUUAAUUUGAAUUUAAUAUAUUAUUGUUAUUUUUGUUUUUUUUAUUUUAAAUGAAAAAUAUAAGUUUUUAUUAUUUUAAGGAAAAAAUAUAAUUUUAGUUUAUAGUAUAGUGAUAGAAUUAUUUUUAAUUUGUUAAAGAAGAAUUUAUUUUUCGUACCUGGUUCAGGGUUAAUUAAUUUUGGUUUCUCGAAUUUAGAAGAGUAAAUUUUAUUGUAAAAUAAAUAUUUAUAAUUGGUAAUUAGAAAUGAAAUGUUAUUCGUUUUUAAAUAUAUCUAGUUUUUUAAGAAAAAAAUUUAAUUUUAUUAUUGUUUAUAAUUUUAUAAGGGAUAAGCUUUUAAUUAUAUGUUUAUAAACUAUUAUUUUUAUAAAAGUUAUAGGAUUAGAAUUUUCUAUUUUUAAUAGAAUGUUAUAAUUAAUAGUUUUAAGUUUUUUAUUAAAAUUUUAAUUUAAGUUUUUUAAAUUAAGUAUUAAUGAUUGAAUUAGUAAGUUUAUAAUAAGGAACUCGGCAAUAUAAAUUUUCACCUGUUUAAUAAAAACAUGUCUUUUUGAUUAUAAUUUAAAGUCUUGCCUGCCCAAUGAUUUAAUGGCCGCAGUAUAUUGACUGUGCAAAGGUAGCAUAAUCAUUAGUUUUUUAAUUAAAAGCUGGAAUGAAUGGUUUGAUGAAAAAUUAACUGUCUCUAGAAUUUUAAUUUUAAGUGAAAAAGCUUAAAUGUUAUAUAAAGACGAGAAGACCCUAUAGAGUUUUUUUAUUGGGGUGAUGUAAAAAUUUAAUGAACUUUUUAUUUGUAUGAAAAAUUGAUCCUGGAUUAUAAGAUAAAAUUACCUUAGGGAUAACAGCGUAAUUUUUUUGGAAAGUUCUUAUUU
This 1228-nucleotide ribosomal RNA is filed under the name Yarranum sp. NLG-2012. Its description in RNAcentral is "partial 16S ribosomal RNA". The record is from RNAcentral. Lineage: Eukaryota; Metazoa; Arthropoda; Insecta; Coleoptera; Tenebrionidae.